GUUUUUGUCACCGAAAAUGUCAACAGUGGAGUCGAUAUUUUAUUGGUGUACAGUGAAACAUCAUUAAUAUUAUUACAAACGCGCUGAGCCACAUUAAAAAGUCAAAGCAGAAGAGUUUGUAAGUUAGCGCACUUCACAUUUGUGCGGUAAUUGCAACGGAAAUAUGUGCUUCUAUAAAGUUAAUGGUAACAUUUGCAACACUCUUAUAAGAUAAGUAGAACAGUGAUGUUUUACAGAAGUAGCUUGUAAUACCCAAAAUGAUCGACAUAUAACACAACAUAUAAAAACGUAGGAAAUAAACGUUAAUAAUUAAAUAUGUUAUUCUGGAACCAUAAACAGAAGUUAUUUCAACUAUCGAGGCAAAACUGAACAGUGUCUAUUUUACACCCUACGUAAGUAUACUCUAAUAUACUGUGCUUAUGACUCGCUACGUAUACUUCUGAUUAAGAUUACAGAUCUACAACAAAUUGAAUUAUUUUAAGGUACACUUGUUUUACUCUAUUGUUAAGGUACCAUGCUCAAAACAAACUGGCGAACAAAAUAUCAUUUUAGUGUCUAUCAACCUUUUUAAUUUACACAGUAUUACACUCAUUAAUAAUUGGCUAUUAAAUCCAAAUGUACCUAUUGCAGAAGGGGCAACCUUUGCAGGUCCAAAUUGCCCUCUUUUUGGAGCAGCAGUAGACCUCUUCACAGGAGCUGAUUUAAUCUGCAACAUUUACACCGAUCUCAUUAAAGUUCACAGCAUGAUCUCAAGCUUAUAUAAGCAGUAUUUUAUGAAACACUUACCGCCCUAUCUGUCUCAUCUGUGCUCUUUCCAACUGAAAUCAGAAAAAUUAAGAGAAACGCUUAGUUUGACGGAAUUACUAGUAUACUUAAAUGAAACUGAUUAAUUCGUGGAGCAUAAUCUAUUGUAGUCAAUGAUGCAUCUAUUUUUAGAACUGUGUACCUAAGUCUGGAUAUAGCCAUGGUGGCUUGUGAAUGUCACAAUGGCAUCCUCUUGCUCUAGCACCUGGGUGCUUCACAAUGUUAUCCCACUGAAGAAUCCAUCUACUACUAGGAUCCCAUAUCUUAUGAUCAAUACUGGGAUACUUUUUUAAUCCUCUGUGCAAGCAGCGGUGGCCGCUUGACACAAUUAUACCGGCAUCAUUCAUUUUACAAGACAAAUACUACUCCGCACAGUUAAUGAACAACAGAAACAUCGAACGAUCUCUUAUGUCUUGUAGAACACAACACAGCACUCAGCAGGAUUUCAGGAAACUCCAUUACAGUGUGAGAAAUCUCCAUUGUGGCAUAGCCUGUUACCUGAUCUUCUGGUUUCCUUCAAAAUUAACAUCCCGCUAAUUAAGAUGGCACACAUCGAUAAAAGGAAUUAUUUCGUAAGACGAAGCGCAAAAAAAUGUCGAUUUGGUCAGAAUUUAAAAAUUGUUCCCCUAGAAAUUUGUACACCGCGUAUUUUUUAACACCGUGUACGCAACGAUCCGAACUAUCAGCAAACGCAUCAGUGAAAGCGAUUUUUAGCGUUUCCUAAUUACAAAAAGAAUCCAUAUAAUCAUUUGUAAUCUCUAUAUUGAAAUCGACGGAAUUAGAUCGAUAACCUGGCUUUACUCCAAUGUAAAUAUGUACUAAGUUCCUCGAACGUUACGAACAUUUUCUAUUUUCCAUGAACGCUAUCCUUCUUGUAUGUUCCCUGACAAUCGCCAACAAGGUAUAAACUUUAUUCGAUAUACCUACAAUGUAACAAAUAGUAACAGGAAAACCGGUUUCAAAAGCCACGGUGGAUAUCAAGUAGCAAUCUGUUUUCCUGAUUGCAUACGAUUUUUAUGAACCGUUUCGAUUAUCCGUCGUUACACAGAAUCAGAAAAGCAAGAGUGGCGAUUAAACUAUACCAGUGGAAGAAGGAAUUACGGUGAACAUGCUUGGCAAAAGACUAAUUUUCAUAAGCGGAUUAAUAAUCUGGAUAAAUACGCAGGUUUUAGCAGAUCUCGAAAUGCAGAAGAUUGCGCCUAUUAUAUUUAUAGCAUAACGGCGUUUAGAAUGACAACCUUGACAACAUAUUCCAAGGUCAUUGUAACCGGAGGUAAUUCCGUUGAACGGUAUAUUUAUCCGAAUCUGUAAAUUCUCGCAAAUCGAAAACCUGACAACGAGAUAGAUCGUUAGAAAUCUUUGAAAUCUAGCGUGGAUCAGACGUAGCGAAAUAUCGCAAAUGCGGGUUACCGAUCAAACUUGGUAUUGAGCACGAGUUCAACGCGCUAAGAUAACGGCCGGCGGGCACGGUCGGUCGAGAUUCAAAUGAAAUGAAAUGAAAUUUCUGUCGCAAGAGGGACGAAAAAAAUGCAAACAACACGUUCUUCUUGGUUCAGCCGAUAAAGACCAAAAUAGCUUCCACAACCGUCCGCAAGGACGAAGAGCAAUCAUCGUUUUCGUGAUAAGACCGCGAUAAAGAUUACAUAUUCCGUCAAAUAUAUUCACAAUUAACCUUCCCCGGACGACUGCGGCGAUUAUCUUUCCACUUUACGUAAGAAUUUUCCGCAUGUAACACCGGCGCAAACGGCAGGCGCGUAUCAAGAAAAAAAAAUGAAUUGUAUUUCCAAGGAUUAUUGCGUCACGGAUGCCGUGUGUGUGACGUUUACGCGUAAUUCAUUACCGCGCACACACGUGUUCAAACACGAGAGCCUUCGUCUCUCCGCGAUGGAACUUCGUCUAUUCGUUUACCUCCGCACAAUUUGCCUUUCACGCAGCGCGCGAUAAACGACCGGGCUUCUUUCCUAGAAAAUGUGUAUCUGCCUGUCGGGAUCUUAAUAAAAGAAAAAAACCGAA
This is a non-coding RNA of Megalopta genalis, 2817 nucleotides long. The record is from RefSeq and is a predicted model, not a curated record. NCBI's taxonomy places the organism in Eukaryota, Metazoa, Arthropoda, Insecta, Hymenoptera, Halictidae.